AUGAGGGCCGCUUGGGAUCUGGCGCAGAAGGUGACCAUCCGACCACUCGAGGACAAUUUAUACACUCUGCAGUUUUCUUGCCUCGGUGAUUGGGAGCGCGUGAUGGAGGAUGGACCGUGGGCUUUCCGCGGAGAUGCAGUGAUUCUGGCGGAGUACGACGGGUUCACCAAACCGUCAACGAUCAAACUGGACAAGCUAGCUAUAUGGGCACAGAUUCAUGAUUUCCCGGACGGCUAUGUGUCGCAGAUUCCAGCUUUGGCAGCAAAGAUAGGUGAUCUGGUGUACGCGGAGCCAGCAUCUCAUGAUUUUGAAGGUAACUUUUUCAGGGUCCGAGUCAACAUAGAUGUCAACAAACCACUGAAGAAUGCGGUCUCGCUCAAGAUUGAUGAUAAAAGGCUGCUGUUCCGUGUCAAAUAUGAACGCCUCCCAGAUUGGUGUGCGGUAUGCGGCAGGCUUGGGCAUCUGUACAAAGAACACGGCGACGGAGUUCACCCCCCAUCGGCGCUGGUGUUCAAGAACUUGAAGGCCUCUUGGUUCCGCGGAGCGGGUCCUGGACCCGGUGGGGCCAAGAACAAAAGAAACACAGCAGGGAGUCGACGGUCGGUUGCUGAGGAAAGACCGGCCUUUCCCAAGCUUCGGUCCUGUCUACAGGCGUGCAUACUUCUGCACCCUCGGCUCACCCAGGCGACGGGAUUCUGCUGCUGCCGCCGCCACAGACACCCAAUCUUCCUGGACGAUCUUCAAGCUUUGCUCUAUUGGCGAGAUGUAUUUUUGUAUCCUGUUCCAUCUGUAUAUGUUGUGCAGUGUACCGUGUGCGUGCAAGCUGCCAAGCCAAACAAAAGGGAAACAAGCAACAAAGCGACCACGAACCCCCGCCGUGCAUCGCUCAAACGCAACCAUAACAUACCCCAGAGACACAGCGAUCGGCAGAGCAAGCAAGCACACCGUCGCAUCGACGCGGGCAGCAACGCCGGCAGGCCAGCCGAAGCGCGCGACCAGCUGGGCGCGUUCGUGGCCAUGGACCGCCUGAGAAGUCAUGACGAGAAGGCACCGCCGGCGGGGACGAAGCGCGAGCUCCCGGACCUGGAGUCGCGCACUGCCCCUGCCCUCAGGUCGCUGCUCAGCUCGGUAUAUGGCAGACGCCAGGAGUUCGCUGAGGGGUCUCAGGCGGCAAUCGCGUUGGCGGAACAGUUGAUCCGGGAGAUCGACGAGGCCCUGGCAAAGCAGGGCGGCGACACGGAGCAAGAUUGCAGCACAAAACAUUGA
Molecule: ribosomal RNA, 1266 nt
Filed under: Triticum aestivum (bread wheat)
Lineage: Eukaryota; Viridiplantae; Streptophyta; Magnoliopsida; Poales; Poaceae
Description: partial small subunit ribosomal RNA
Source: RNAcentral